RNAcentral lists this ribosomal RNA (254 nucleotides) under uncultured bacterium. Its description in RNAcentral is "partial 16S ribosomal RNA". It matches the Rfam family "Bacterial small subunit ribosomal RNA", at positions 524 to 776 of the family's 1533-position model. The record is from RNAcentral.
UACGGGGGGGGUAAGCGUUGUUCGGAUUUACUGGGCGUAAAGGGCGCGUAGGCGGUCAGCACAAGUCAGUUGUGAAAUCUCCGGGCUUAACUCGGAAAGGUCAACUGAUACUGUGCGACUAGAGUGCAGAAGGGGCAACUGGAAUUCUCGGUGUAGCGGUGAAAUGCGUAGAUAUCGAGAGGAACACCUGCGGCGAAGGCGGGUUGCUGGGCUGACACUGACGCUGAUGCGCGAAAGCCAGGGGAGCGAACGGG